UGGGGAAUAUUGGACAAUGGGGGAAACCCUGAUCCAGCCAUGCCGCGUGUGUGAAGAAGGCCCUCGGGUUGUAAAGCACUUUCAGCGAGGAAGAACGCCUAACGGUUAAUACCCGCUAGGAAAGACAUCACUCGCAGAAGAAGCACCGGCUAACUCCGUGCCAGCAGCCGCGGUAAUACGGAGGGUGCAAGCGUUAAUCGGAAUUACUGGGCGUAAAGCGCGCGUAGGUGGCUUGAUAAGCCGGUUGUGGAAGCCCCGGGCUCAACCUGGGAACGGCAUCCGGAACUGUCAAGCUAGAGUGCAGGAGAGGAAGGUAGAAUUCCCGGUGUAGCGGUGAAAUGCGUAGAGAUCGGGAGGAAUACCAGUGGCGAAGGCGGCCUUCUGGACUGACACUGACACUGAGGUGCGAAAGCGUGGGUAGCAAACAGGAUUAGAUACCCAAGUAGUCCCUGAGCGGGCUGGCAAGGCGCAU
Molecule: ribosomal RNA, 472 nt
Filed under: uncultured bacterium
Lineage: Bacteria
Description: bacterial SSU rRNA
Rfam family: Bacterial small subunit ribosomal RNA
Source: RNAcentral